Molecule: ribosomal RNA, 1337 nt
Filed under: metagenome
Description: bacterial LSU rRNA
Rfam family: Bacterial large subunit ribosomal RNA
Source: RNAcentral
UGAGUACGAGCUGCUACGGCAGCGAAGUGGGUGAUGUCAAGCUUCCAAGAAAAGCCCUAUACCCGUUAAGGCAUGACGGCCUGUACCCGAAACCGACACAGGUGGGGUGGUAGAGAAUACCGAGGGGCGCGAGAUAACUCUCUCUAAGGAACUCGGCAAAAUGGCCCCGUAACUUCGGGAGAAGGGGUGCCACCGCAAGGUGGUCGCAGUGAAGAGGCCCAGGCGACUGUUUACCAAAAACACAGGUCUCCGCUAAGUCGCAAGACGAUGUAUGGGGGCUGACGCCUGCCCAGUGCCGGAAGGUUAAGGAAGCUGGUCAGCGCAAGCGAAGCUAGCGACUGAAGCCCCGGUGAACGGCGGCCGUAACUAUAACGGUCCUAAGGUAGCGAAAUUCCUUGUCGGGUAAGUUCCGACCCGCACGAAAGGCGUAACGAUCUGGGCGCUGUCUCGGAGAGAGGCUCGGCGAAAUAGAAUUGUCUGUGUAGAUGCGGACUACGUGCACCCGGACAGAAAGACCCUAUGAAGCUUUACUGUAGCUUGGUAUUGUGCCCGGGCUCUGAAUGCGCAGGAUAGGUGGGAGGCUUUGAUCCAUUGCUUGUGGGUAAUGGUGAGCCACUGGUGAGAUACCACUCUUUCAGAGCUAGGGUUCUAACGGUCACCCGUUAUCCGGGGACCGGACAGUAUCAGGUGGGCAGUUUGACAGGGGCGGUCGCCUCCUAAAAGGUAACGGAGGCGCGCAAAGGUUCCCUCAGGCUGGUUGGAAAUCAGCCGACGAGUGUAAAGGCAGAAGGGAGCUUGACUGUGAGACCUACAAGUCGAACAGGGACGAAAGUCGGCCUUAGUGAUCCGACGGUUCUGAGUGGAAGGGCCGUCGCUCAACGGAUAAAAGUUACUCUAGGAUAACAGGCUGAUCUCCCCCAAGAGUUCACAUCGACGGGGAGGUUUGGCACCUCGAUGUCGGCUCAUCGCAACCUGGGGCUGAAGUCGGUCCCAAGGGUUGGGCUGUUCGCCCAUUAAAGCGGUACGCGAGCUGGGUUCAGAACGUCGUGAGACAGUUCGGUCCAUAUCCGGUGCACGCGCAGGAACAUUGAGAGGAUUUCUCCCUAGUACGAGAGGACCGGGAGGAACGCACCUCUGGUGUACCAGUUAUCGUGCCAACGGUAAACGCUGGGUAGCCAUGUGCGGAGCGGAUAACCGCUGAAAGCAUCUAAGUGGGAAGCCCACCUCAAGAUGAGUGUUCCCAUGGCAUAAGCCAGUAAGGUCACGGGAAGAACACCCGUUGAUAGGCUCUACGUGGAAGCGUGGCAACACGUGAAGCGGAGGAGUACUAAUAGACC